UGAGUAAAGUGGCGUACGGGUGAGUAACACGUGGAUCAUCUACCUCUUGGUGGGGGAAUAACCCUGGGAAACCGGGGCUAAUACCGCAUAAGCCUGCAAAGGGAAAGCAGCAAUGCGCCGAGAGAGGAGUCCGCGGCCGAUUAGCUAGUUGGCGGGGUAAUGGCCCACCAAGGCGAAGAUCGGUAGCCGGCCUGAGAGGGCACACGGCCACACUGGCACUGAAACACGGGCCAG
Molecule: ribosomal RNA, 234 nt
Filed under: uncultured bacterium
Lineage: Bacteria
Description: partial 16S ribosomal RNA
Rfam family: Bacterial small subunit ribosomal RNA
Source: RNAcentral